RNAcentral lists this ribosomal RNA (500 nucleotides) under uncultured bacterium. Its description in RNAcentral is "partial 16S ribosomal RNA". It matches the Rfam family "Bacterial small subunit ribosomal RNA", at positions 30 to 523 of the family's 1533-position model. The record is from RNAcentral.
AUUGAACGCUGGCGGCAUGCCUUACACAUGCAAGUCGAACGGCAGCACGGGAGCAAUCCUGGUGGCGAGUGGCGAACGGGUGAGUAAAGUAUCGGAACGUGCCCAGUCGUGGGGGAUAACGUAGCGAAAGUUACGCUAAUACCGCAUACGAUCUAUGGAUGAAAGCGGGGGAUCGGAAGACCUCGCGCGAUUGGAGCGGCCGAUAUCAGAUUAGGUAGUUGGUGGGGUAAAGGCUCACCAAGCCGACGAUCUGUAGCUGGUCUGAGAGGACGACCAGCCAAACUGGGACUGAGACACGGCCCAGACUCCUACGGGAGGCAGCAGUGGGGAAUUUUGGACAAUGGGCGAAAGCCUGAUCCAGCCAUGCCGCGUGCAGGAUGAAGGCCUUCGGGUUGUAAACUGCUUUUGUACGGAACGAAAAGGUUUGGGCUAAUAAGCUGAGCUCAUGACGGUACCGUAAGAAUAAGCACCGGCUAACUACGUGCCAGCCGCCGCGGUAA